GAUGAACGCUGGCGGCGUGCUUAACACAUGCAAGUCGAACGGAAAGGCUCCUGCUUGCAGGGGUACUCGAGUGGCGAACGGGUGAGUAACACGUGGGUGAUCUGCCCUGCACUUCGGGAUAAGCCUGGGAAACUGGGUCUAAUACCGGAUAGGACGAUGGUUUGGAUGCCAUUGUGGAAAGUUUUUCGGUGUGGGAUGAGCUCGCGGCCUAUCAGCUUGUUGGUGGGGUAAUGGCCUACCAAGGCGUCGACGGGUAGCCGGCCUGAGAGGGUGUACGGCCACCUUGGGACUGAGAUACGGCCCAGACUCCUACGGGAGGCAGCCGUGGGGAAUAUUGCACAAUGGGCGCAAGCCUGAUGCAGCGACGCCGCGUGGGGGAUGACGGCCUUCGGGUUGUAAACUCCUUUCGCUAGGGACGAAGCGUUUUGUGACGGUACCUGGAGAAGAAGCACCGGCUAACUACGUG
This 466-nucleotide ribosomal RNA is filed under the name uncultured bacterium. RNAcentral describes it as "partial 16S ribosomal RNA". It matches the Rfam family "Bacterial small subunit ribosomal RNA", at positions 28 to 507 of the family's 1533-position model. The record is from RNAcentral.